AAUAGAUACCCUGGUAGUCCACGCCGUAAACGAUGGAUACUAGGUGUCCGGAUGUUUAACCGUCUGGGUACCAAAGCUAACGCAUUAAGUAUCCCGCCUGGGGAGUACGGUCGCAAGGCUAAAACUCAAAGGAAUUGACGGGGGCCCGCACAAGCGGUGGAGUAUGUGGUUUAAUUCGAAGCAACGCGCAGAACCUUACCUGGGCUUAACAUUUAUCGACAACCCCAGAGAUGGGGCUUCCACUUCGGUGGCGGUAGGAUAGGUGCUGCAUGGCUGUCGUCAGCUCGUGUCGUAAGAUGUUCGGUUAAGUCCGGCAACGAGCGCAACCCCUGUCCUUAGUUACCAGCAUUAAGUUGGGGACUCUAGGGAGACUGCCGGUGUUAAACCGGAGGAAGGCGGGGAUGACGUCAAGUCCUCAUGGCCCUUAUGUCCAGGGCUACACACGUACUACAAUGGCAGAAACAGAGGGCAGCAAAACCGCGAGGUUGAGCUAAUCCCAAAACACUGUCCCAGUCCGGAUUGGAGUCUGCAACUCGACUCCAUGAAGUUGGAAUCGCU
Molecule: ribosomal RNA, 558 nt
Filed under: uncultured bacterium
Lineage: Bacteria
Description: bacterial SSU rRNA
Rfam family: Bacterial small subunit ribosomal RNA
Source: RNAcentral